Molecule: ribosomal RNA, 460 nt
Filed under: uncultured bacterium
Lineage: Bacteria
Description: partial 16S ribosomal RNA
Rfam family: Bacterial small subunit ribosomal RNA
Source: RNAcentral
CCUACGGGAGGCAGCAGUGAGGGAUAUUGGUCAAUGGCCGGAAGGCUGAACCAGCCAUGCCGCGUGAAGGUCAGUGCCCUAUGGGCGUUAAACUUCUUUUGUGCGGGAGCAAUAAUGGUCACGUGUGGCCAGACGAGAGUACCGUACGAAUACGCGUCGGCUAACUCCGUGCCAGCAGCCGCGGUAAUACGGGGGAUGCAAGCGGUAUCCGGAUUGAUGGGGGUUAAAGGGUGCAUAGGCUGUGAGUGAAGUCAGCGGUGAAAUGCCCCCGCUCAACGGGGUGAAGUGCCAUUGAUACUGCAUGGCUGGAAUGCGGAUGCCGUGGGAGGAAUGUGUGGUGUAGCGGUGAAAUGCAUAGAUAUCACACAGAACACCGAUUGCGAAGGCAUCUCACGAAUCCGCGAUUGACGCUGAUGCACGAAAGCGUGGGUAUCAAACAGGAUUAGAUACCCUGGUAGUC